Molecule: ribosomal RNA, 495 nt
Filed under: uncultured bacterium
Lineage: Bacteria
Description: partial 16S ribosomal RNA
Rfam family: Bacterial small subunit ribosomal RNA
Source: RNAcentral
GACGAACGCUGGCGGCGUGCCUAAUACAUGCAAGUAGAACGCUGAAGGAGGAGCUUGCUUCUCUGGAUGAGUUGCGAACGGGUGAGUAACGCGUAGGUAACCUGCCUGGUAGCGGGGGAUAACUAUUGGAAACGAUAGCUAAUACCGCAUAAGAGUAGAUGUUGCAUGACAUUUGCUUAAAAGGUGCAGUUGCAUCACUACCAGAUGGACCUGCGUUGUAUUAGCUAGUUGGUGGGGUAACGGCUCACCAAGGCGACGAUACAUAGCCGACCUGAGAGGGUGAUCGGCCACACUGGGACUGAGACACGGCCCAGACUCCUACGGGAGGCAGCAGUAGGGAAUCUUCGGCAUUGGACGGAAGUCUGACCGAGCAACGCCGCGUGAGUGAAGAAGGUUUUCGGAUCGUAAAGCUCUGUUGUAAGAGAAGAACGAGUGUGAGAGUGGAAAGUUCACACUGUGACGGUAGCUUACCAGAAAGGGACGGCUAACUACGUG